This is an RNA transcript of Halichondria panicea, 4455 nucleotides long. RefSeq lists it as uncharacterized. The record is from RefSeq and is a predicted model, not a curated record. The transcript has 5 exons. NCBI's taxonomy places the organism in Eukaryota, Metazoa, Porifera, Demospongiae, Suberitida, Halichondriidae.
CCCAAAACUUCAAUCUACUCCUAUAUCUAUAACAAUAAUAAUUAUUGGGUUUCAAUAUCAUAUAGCUGAGCAGUUCUAGACAGACUAAGUUUGUCUGUGAAGAUGAGUAACCAGAGACACUUCAUGCUGCUUUUAGCAACAGCUAUCAUCAUCCUACACCACAUCGCAUUUGGACAAGAUUCAAACUGUAUUUGUUCUAUAGAGACGAACGGUCAUCAAAAAGAGUGUGAUAUUACUUUUGAUACGGAGAAGAUUGGAAAUGACACAAUAAUUCGUUUCUGCUCAGGAGAUAUUGAUAUUUCCAAGCCAAUUAUUUUGAGCAAUCUCACCAAUAUCACAUUUGUUGGCAAGAAUAACACUACAUUAAGAUGCAAUGGGAUCGAAGGCGGCCUAAAGUUUGUACACGUUACCAGCUUGACUAUCAGAAGUUUGAAAAUAGUUGGUUGUGGCUUGGUACAUGACAGUACAACCGAGGACAAGUAUAUGAAUAGCACGAUUCAACUGAGCAGCGCAUUGUACAUUAUUAACUGUACUGACCUUUUCGUUAAUGGACUUUAUGUCUUCAACAAUUCUGGAGUUGGUCUUGUUAUGUAUGAUGUCAGUGGAGUUGUUGAGAUAUUAAAUUCUGUUUUCGAGCACAAUUCACAGCAGAACACAAAAAUUGUUUCCGAGGCGGUGGACUUUACAUUGAAUUCACUGUCUGCGCAACUGGUGUUUACUGCACAGAUUUUAACAGCAAGCCUGAAAAUAUGAGAGCAAGGGGGAAUCGUUAUUUGCUGGCUAACUGCACAUUUUCGGGGCUCAAAAUACAUGCAAUACAAGAAUAACUCACGGCUAAAUCACCAAGGGCUGGGCAGAGGUGGUGGACUGUCAAUACAGCUAAGUGGGAAAUCUAACUUCAAUACAUUUACAAUUCGUGACUGUACAUUCAGAGCUAACGAAGCAAAUUGGGGAGGUGGUCUCUACAUAGUCAUACAAGACUCUAGCAGUCACAACAUCAUUAAGCUACGAUUCAAGAUAAUACGUGUAAACAUUUUGGAGGUGGUGGUGUGGACAUAGGCUACAAUACUGCUUUAAUAUCCAACAAUACAGUGCAUUUUAAUCACUGUACAUUUGAAAGAAACUGGGCAGUUUAUGGGGGAGGGAUUCGAGUCUACUCAAUUCGAAGAGAAAAAUCUGAUUUGCUCAAUGUCUUGGAGUUUUAUCAUUGUAAUUGGACACAAAAUGAAGCUAAAUACGGAUCAGCAAUUGAUAUUGCUCCACAUGUAUGGGAGAUUUUAUCUAAAGGAUUCUUACCAGUACCAGUGUUUCAUAACUGUGAAUUCAGAUCAAAUACAGUGAGUUUGGAUUCUCAGAACUAUACAGGUUAUGAAAUGGAAGGGGUUCAAUGAUGCUUACAGAUUUCAAUGCAAUAUUUAGUGGUUUGAUAAUAUUUGAAGGUAACUCAGGCUCUGCACUCUACCUUUCAUCUAGUAUCAUUACAACAAGACCUGAGACCAUAUGCAAGUUUGUCGGAAAUGACGGAUUUGAAGGUGGUGCAAUUGCAUUUGUUGGAUUAUCAGCUUUGUUUGUGAUGGAAAAAACUCAUUUACUUUCAAUAAAAACACUGCUUUGAGAAGGGGUGGAGCUAUCUAUGAGUACAACAUUGACAAACACAACUUUGUAUCAUCGAGAAGUUGUUUUAUUCAAUAUCAUGGAUCAGUUGACUCAAAAAAUUCGAAUGUAACAUUUGAAUUUAAAGACAAUUACGCUGAGAUUGCCGAGGGCAAUCAAACUGAAUGUUACGCUGCUGGCCAUGACAUCGUCUCUCCUUCAUUACAAACGUGUAUUACUGCAUGCAAUCAUCCAACUGAGGGAUUCAAACGUACGACUCAUCACUAUGCACAUACAUUCACCUGUGUUGGUACAUUCAUUUUCCAUGCUGCCGAUAUCAAAUGUCAUCUAUCAACUUCAGGAGGACAAUUUCAAAUAAACAAAACAAUGUUUCUUGGUGACAACCAGUACUUUAAAGUAUACCCUGGACGUAAAACUAAUUUGCCAAUAUCAGUAAUAAAUGAUUACUACCAAACAAUAGAUGCAGUAUACUACGCAACACUAAGUCAAAAUACAUCAAGUGUCAAACUCGGUCAACCGUACACGUAUAUAUCCAAUAGAAAGGUGCAACUAAAUGGGCAACCUGGAAGUGAUAGUGUGCUAAGACUACAAAAAUUAGGAUAUCGAGAAUUGAGGCUUAACAUCAAUAUAUCUCUCUUGGAAUGCCCACCAGGGUAUUUUUUGGAUGAAUCUACCGAAAACUGCAUUUGCAGUGCUUCAACUUUGGAAACGGCAUUUCGACCCAUACAUCAGUGUGAUUAUAAACUAUUUCAAGCACAUUUGCAAAAAGGAUACUGGUUUGGGUUCAAUAACAACACACGUAAUUUUGAAUACGGAUACUGUCCUGGUGGCUAUUGUAAUCACUUUGAUCAAAACUCAGUCUUACCUAAAACUAAAGAGAUGCUUGACAAGGAGGUCUGUGGCAUUUAUCGAACUGGAAGGCUCUGUGGUGAAUGUCGAGAGAAUUAUUCCGUUCAUUAUCAUGGGAUGAAUCACAACUGUCAAAAAAAUGAAUCGUGUGAUUACGGAUGGCUUCUUUACAUUAUAUCUGAGCUUUUCCCACUAACUGUUUUAUUUGUCUUGACAACUGUACUAAACAUUAGUUUCACAUCUGGCGCAGUCAAUGGAUUUAUUUUCUUUUCACAAGUGAUUGAUUCUAUACCUGUCACUGGAAAUUCAUUCAUCAUAUUUCCAAAUCCAGUGUAUCAUAUAUACACAUGCAAUAACCAGAAUGAUCUACAAUGUGUUCAAUUUAGAUUUCUUCCUUCAUGAUAACCUUUCAUUUUGCCUAUGGAGAGGAGCCACAACAAUGGAUAUGCUUAUGUUCAAGUUUACAACUGUUGUUUAUGUACUUCUUUUGGUAAUCAUAACUGUUGGCCUGAUAAACUACUGUAAUAUUCUGCAGAAAUGCAGUUGUUUUCGUUACUCUACUAUUAAGUCGUCCAUUAUACACGGUUUAUCAGCAGUGCUCGUGAUUGUGUUUUCCCGAUGCUUCAAAGUUUGUAGUCAAAUCCUUAAUAUCACCCAUGUAUACGGCCAGGGUAAUAUCUUCUAUCAAACUGUUGUAUUUCUUCAAGGUAACUUGACGCCAUUUUCAGGGGAUCAUCUGAAGUAUGCUAUUUUUGCAGUUCUGUGCAUGCUCAUCAUGUUUAUUCCAAUGCUGCUUCUACUAAUAAUUUAUAUCCAUUUUGUUUCAAACUGUUGUCCAUUUGUAAAUGUGUUGAUACAAGUUCAACAUUGUACGACUUCAGAAGGAGUUAAGAGGUCGACCUACAAAACUGAGGCUGUAUGCCAUCAACAUUGGCUACGCUGUGAUUGCGUAUACAAUCUUCAAUAUUGCGGUUUUUGCAGGAUAUUUUAGGUUUUUUGAAAACUUGAAGGAAAAUGUAAUAUUAAACUACUCGAGGCGUAACUACCUGUUGAUAGCUGCUCGUGUGGCCCUGCUUUUCAUGCUAAUCACCAGUUACCCUGUGGGACUGCACCCGGGCAGAGACGCUACAAACAGUGUGUUCCUACUGGUACACGACCUUAUUUCAAGUAAAUUCUGCAAGAAAAAGAAGUCGACGAAGAAUGGCCAAAAUACUAAUUUGAGAGCAAAUGGAGAAUCUGAAAAUGUUAAUACCGUCGAAACUGAUAUGCAAUCGCCCAAACCUGACAGUGUAAGUGAUAAGGACGAAUUACAGUCUCUUUCAGAAUGCAGUGGGAGCACUGGCAAGGAAGAUUCAAGAUCAGCUGGUGAAUCUAAACAUGGCAAUCAUAAGGUUUGUGCUUAUUAUCUAUAAAGGCCUGACACCAUCAACUAUUAACUCUCUUUUGGCCUGAAAUGAGAAGAAAUGGCCUAAUUAGUGUUCCGACAGUAAUCUGGUUCUGUGAGACCUACAUGUUUUUUGCACUCUCGUUCAUACCAGCCAGCUUCAUCUUGAACGUUGGAAUCGUAUGGAACUUUGUCAGCUCUAUAGGAGGAGUGCUUAUCCUCUACAUCUACCCUGCGGCAAUUUACCUCAAGCUACGAUAUGCUCGAUACAAAAAACGUGGUCAAGAUAACAACAUAAGCAUUCGAUCGCAGUACACUACCAAGGCAGCUGUAGAAGAAGUCAUAGCAUGGUGUAUCCUGCUGAUUGGUAUUGUACUACUCUUCCUGACUAAUUAUCAAGCUCUCUAUACUGUUAUAGAGACUGGCAACGAUAGCGGUGGACUGUGUUUUCAGCUGGAGUGUAGGACCGUUGAACAAUGGAACCAAACUUACUUUGACCUUUCAUGACUAUAGAUUAACUGUGCUUUGUGUACAAUGUGCAUAAAGACUAACAAUAAUUAUUAUUUAUGUAUUUUAAAGUACGAUUGUUCAAUGAUCCAGCGACUUUA